GAGCGGGGCCCCGGCCCCACUAUGCGCCCCUGGGAGAGCGGCCGGGAGCUGUGCGGGGCGGCGGGGCGGAGCGGGGUGGGACGGAAGGCGCAGCUCCCGGUCCGUGGGCUCCCUCGGCGGGGCAGGGCUGGCAGAGCGAAUUGUCAUUCCAAAUGAAAAGAAAACACGAUUUCUAAGAAGUGUUUAGGAGGGUGCGCUGCGGGGCAUAUUUUCUUUCUUACUGGCAAGGGUUUGUAACUGGAUCCCUGAACAUUGCUGAGAACAUGAAAACAUGAAACAAAAGUAUUGAUCCAAGAAUUCGCAGAAGAAAAGGAUCCAAAUACACCCGGGUUUGUUCGGUGGGUUUUUUAAAGGUUCUAACAGAUGUUUACUGGGCGCAGCUCGAGCCCUUGCGUGCACCGUGCAAGCGCGCGUGGGGCAAAGUGUCAUUUGUGCGGUUAAAUCUGCAUUAUGCCCGCCUUAAUUGCAUCAGCUGCCAGAGACAUCUAGGAAUAAUGGCAUUAAAGAGGGAAAUAGCAAUCAUCUUCAAAAGGCUGCAGCAUAAUGGAGGGACCUAAUUAAUUUAACCUUGCAGUCUUCCAUAAUGGCUGCACUUUAUCAUUUCCACAGAUGGAGCUUGAAGGAAUUAACAAUGCCGUUUAUCCCAGCUGACAUCUCUGACUGUGGUUAGCCAGUGGCACAUUUCCCACUUCAAGAUGCAUUUCUUCACUUGAGGGAAACCAAGGCGAGCUCUGGCAAUAGCUGCCGAAACUUGCAGCUGUGACGUGCGUGUGGCAUGCUGGAAAACUCCGAGAAUAAGCACGAGAUCGGUCUCUUUAUGAGCUCAUCAAGUGAUGCUGGGAGAAAACGGAGUGUUUCCUUGCUUACCUGACCCCAGACGUUUCCAAUACUAUUUCAGGAUUCACAUAAUUCAACCCAGCGCCUUUCCAAGACAAUUCUCAGUGUUAACAGACUCUGACUUUCUGUGCUCGGGGAAACCUGAGCAGCCCCGAGGUGAGCGCUUCCCCGCCCGCACAGCUCAGCACCACCAGCACUGUUCGCACUGGACGGUUGUUUAUUAUCUCAGCAAACAAUGCAUUCUCCGCGUCGAUCGCGUCCUACGGUGACACGCACGCACAGCUCGGACUCACACGUGGGUGACACUCGCCUCUCCGCAAAGCCUGACUAUGGGAACCCACUCUGUUCCACGUUGCUUACAAGGGAAUAAAUUGCGGCGGUCAAAUGUUCUGCA
This 1231-nucleotide long non-coding RNA is filed under the name Coturnix japonica (Japanese quail). Its description in RNAcentral is "lncRNA (ENSCJPG00005011710.1)". The record is from RNAcentral. Lineage: Eukaryota; Metazoa; Chordata; Aves; Galliformes; Phasianidae.